Molecule: ribosomal RNA, 517 nt
Filed under: uncultured bacterium
Lineage: Bacteria
Description: bacterial SSU rRNA
Rfam family: Bacterial small subunit ribosomal RNA
Source: RNAcentral
GUUGAUCAUGGCUCAGGAUGAACGCUAGCUACAGGCUUAACACAUGCAAGUCGAGGGGCAUCAUGGAGUUGCUUGCAAACUCUGAUGGCGACCGGCGCACGGGUGAGUAACGCGUAUCCAACCUUCCCUAUAGUAGAGGAUAGCCCGGCGAAAGUCGGAUUAAUACUCUAUGUUUUCCGUUGCAGACAUCUGAGAUGGAACAAAGGCUUGCCGCUAUAGGAUGGGGAUGCGUCUGAUUAGGUAGUCGGCGGGGUAACGGCCCACCGAGCCAUCGAUCAGUAGGGGUUCUGAGAGGAAGGUCCCCCACAUUGGAACUGAGACACGGUCCAAACUCCUACGGGAGGCAGCAGUGAGGAAUAUUGGUCAAUGGGCGAGAGCCUGAACCAGCCAAGUAAGCGUGCAGGACGACGGCCCUAUGGGUUGUAAACUGCUUUUAUGCGGGGAUAAAGUUCACUACGUGUAGUGUUUUGUAGGUACCGCAUGAAUAAGGACCGGCUAAUUCCGUGCCAGCCGCGGC